This 207-nucleotide ribosomal RNA is filed under the name uncultured bacterium. RNAcentral's name for it is "partial 16S ribosomal RNA". It matches the Rfam family "Bacterial small subunit ribosomal RNA", at positions 568 to 774 of the family's 1533-position model. The record is from RNAcentral.
CGUCUAGGCGGAAUAAUAAGUCAGCUGUGAAAUCCCCCGGCUCAACCGGGGAGUUGCAUUUGAUACUAUUAUCCUUGAGUACAAGAGAGGAAAGCGGAAUUCCAGGUGUAGCGGUGAAAUGCGUAGAUAUCUGGAAGAACACCAGUGGCGAAGGCGGCUUUCUGGCUUGUUACUGACGCUGAAGCGCGAAAGUGUGGGGAGCAAACA